CCAGGGGACCGGGCGACCGCGGCGGAUUUGUCCGGCGAGGAAAGUCCGGGCUCCACGGAACGACGGUGCCGGGUAACGCCCGGCGGGGUUGCGGCUUUGGCCAAGACUUCAGGGAAAGUGCCACAGAAAGUAUACCGCCGGCUCUUGGGCUGGUAAGGGCGAAAGGGUGCGGCAAGAGCGCACCGCGCGGCCGGCAACGGGCGCGGCACGGCAAACCCCACCGGGUGCAAGACCGAAUAGGGGCGACAUGGUGUUUCGGCGCCGGAGGCUGUUCCGCCUCGUCGCCCGGGUUGGUUGCUUGAGCGGCAGGGUAAUCUGUCGCCUAGAGGAAUGGUCGCCCAGUCCCCGCUUUCGCGAGGAUGGACAGAACCCGGCUUACAGGUCCCCUGGCAUU
RNAcentral lists this RNase P RNA (394 nucleotides) under Pseudomonadota bacterium. Its description in RNAcentral is "RNase P RNA component class A". It matches the Rfam family "Bacterial RNase P class A". Rfam says of the family: Ribonuclease P (RNase P) is a ubiquitous endoribonuclease, found in archaea, bacteria and eukarya as well as chloroplasts and mitochondria. Its best characterised activity is the generation of mature 5'-ends of tRNAs by cleaving the 5'-leader elements of precursor-tRNAs. The record is from RNAcentral. Lineage: Bacteria; Pseudomonadati; Pseudomonadota.